CUUGACGAACAAGGCCGCUGCGCGGAGAAACGAGUUGAGCGCGGUACUACCAGGGACGUGGUGGGGAUCGAACCCGGAACCACUCGUUUAUGAAGCGAACGCUCUACCACUACACCACUACCGCAUAAAUCUAGAUGCAUCUUGGGUUUAUCAAAUGUACAAUUGCAUAUAAACAAUUAGACCAACACAAUUAGAUACAAUAGAACAAAAGGUUGAUAGGCUUUUUUAUAUACCUAAUUAUUCUAUUUGUAAAAUUAUAACCUUAGAAAAUAAUAAUAACAACAACAAUAAUAAUAACAAUAUGUUAUAUCAAAAUCUUAUAAUUAAACACCAAAUAAUUAAAAUUAGUUAAACGCCGAAUAAGUUUUAUGUUUAUUUUUUUAGUGUUGUAUAUUAAAAACACUUAUUUUCAGUGUUCCAUAACUGAGAAAAAUAUUCUUUGCCUGGCUAACUCAUUCAAUUGAGCAUGAGAUCUUAAUCUCAUGCUAAUUAAAAUCUCGUAAUCUCGGGGUAAAUAUUUACUUAGACCCUCAAGUUGUUUAUCUUCCUUAAUAUCAUAUUUAAAUAAGAAAAUGUUAUCAUAGAAACCUUUCCAAACCGCGCAAACUUUAAAAUUCACUUUUUUUUACUAACCAAUAAUUAAACUCUACUUGUAAUAAAAAGCGAUUACAUUAAAAAUUAAGAAAUGAAACUCAAUAAUUUUUAGACUAAUAUUUUCAGUUAAAAAAGAAAAAUAAUCUGAAAAAAAAAGUUAAUCUGAAGUUUUUUUAUAUCAUAAAUUUAUUUGUGAUUAUUUUUUAGCUGAUGUACCAUUAAACCGAAGGUGGUAUUAAAGUUUACAAAAUUUGCUCUGGCUGAAUUUUUUGAUGAAAAAACAAUAUGUGUGCCAUGAAUGUAAUCUUUUUUUUCAUGGCGGAUCAAUGAAAGUUUGGUGUAUUGGCCAAAUCACUUGCAAGCAUCUUGCCUUCAGGCUGCCAUACAUAAAGUCACGCUUUUAAAAGUAACUGAAAGCAGCUGAAAAUAAGAAUUUUUUGAUGAACUUUCUUACUUCGGUUGGAGAUGAAAAACAACUUACAGCGACAAUCUUAAUACAGUAAAUGGCCAAAGAAGUAUGUUUUUCAUACUUAGUGUAUGGAAGGAAACAAAAACGUCCUGCAAGGUCGUUAUAGAAUUGCGUUUAGUCAUUUAUCGUUGUAUUCGUUCAUUUCGAAAUCGCUACAAAAGUAUUAAAGAAAAAAUUGGCAGCUAUAUAUAUAUAUAUAUAUAUAU
Hydra vulgaris (swiftwater hydra) is the source of this 1269-nucleotide long non-coding RNA. RefSeq lists it as uncharacterized. Lineage: Eukaryota; Metazoa; Cnidaria; Hydrozoa; Anthoathecata; Hydridae. The record is from RefSeq and is a predicted model, not a curated record.